Molecule: long non-coding RNA, 258 nt
Filed under: Homo sapiens (human)
Lineage: Eukaryota; Metazoa; Chordata; Mammalia; Primates; Hominidae
Description: non-protein coding lnc-SMIM31-8:1
Source: RNAcentral
AUGUUUGAUAUAAAGGCUUGGGUUGAGAAUGUUGUGGAAUGAACUGCAAGGGACCCCUGUGGCUUCUUUAUAGUAAUUCUUUGGCCCUUGUUCUACUACUGCUCAAACAAGUCCAUACUGUCCUGGAAAUUGGCCAGGAUGAUUGAGGCCAGAGGAAAGGAACAAAAGAAGAAAAAACGUUGAGAAAAUAUAUAUUACAUAAGGGAAACAACCGAAAAAAGGAUUAAAGGAAUGAACAGGCUGUGUAAAAUUAUGUAG